AUUUAUUCUCUCUAAGAUCCAUUGUCACCAAAAAGAAUUGCUAAAUAAUCCAUAAGUAAGAGCACUUUCCAAGUGGUUAUUGUUAAGAUUGACCAAACUUAUGCUUGAUGUAUUGAAGUAAGACUAGACCGAGCCAGAUAAAUUGUUCUAUGAUAUAUUUAAGAGGCCAAAAGUAUCGAGGUUGAUACUAAAGAUUUCAAGUCUCCGUCAAUAUAUGGUAUAGUUAGAAAUUUACUUAUACAUGCACAAUAAAAUUUAAAAAUAAUUUUAGUUCCCUUCAAGGAUCUUCUUUUUAUAUAGAUAGAUAUCGUGAUUAGAAUUUUACAUUUAGCAAGUCCUUCAAACCCCUUUGAGAAUUUUGAUAAUAAACAAUCAAGAUCUUUGCACCCCUUUGUGAGUCACGAUCUUUUCAUACCACAUUUGUCUAAUUGUCUAGCCUUUGAUGGUAAGCCGCACACGAGAACAAACAUAAGAGAUUUUGGUUUCUCUUUCUGGUAAUUAUAAAUAUAUUUUUAUGCAGUUUACCCACCAUUAAACAUAAGUUAGUCAAAUAUUUAAUCCAAAAAACUUGUAAUUGCAUCAUUCGAAAAUAUUAUUUUAGGUUUUACUAGGUAACGUUUAAAACACCAAAAAACUAUCUUGAUUAUGAAAUAUAUUAAAAAUUACCGUUAUCCAAAAAUAGAACCCAAAAGAAAAAUCUAAUAAUAAUACUGAAAAUACUAUCUUGUAACUGAAAUGUUUUAAUACUCCAUCCUUCAUGCCUCCCAUUAAACACCUCUUCCUAAAAAAGAAAAACACCUCAAAAAUCUGAUUUGAUUGAAGAAGAAGAAAGGCUUUCGUUGUUUGACCACACCGUGAUUGCUACACUCGGUGGGAUCAUAGAAAUCGCCAUAUCUACAACCGAAAAUCUCCAUCUCGAGAGAGAUAUUUCACACUCUGAAUCAGUAUAUUUACGAAAAUAUCUCAGAUUUGGGAUAUGUUUUUCACCUAGUUUAUAUGCCAUUUGUAUAUUUGGAAAUUUUUUUUGGGAUUUGUUUAUAUACUUGUCUUUCGUUGAAUCGAUAGAAGAGAGAAAAAAAAAUGACUGCCUAGAAAUUAUUCUAAACAUUGUGCAAGUUUGGUAAACUAUUUUAGAGUUUGAGUGUCAUACAUUGUUCUUGCGAUAUGUCUUCAUGUCUGGGUACUAUAGAACUCGUGAAAUCUAUAAAAUUUGAAUACAUGGUUCGAAAUCCCUGAUACUAGAAUGUAUUGACAUAUGUUUUAAUUUCUGAUAUGUUGCAAAGUUACCAUGGAAAUUCUCUUGCAUAUUGACCAACACCAUGUGCAUGUUUCAGAUAUGUAGUAGACAUUAUACAUCCAUUUAGCCUUAUACGAUUAUAUGAUAUUUGAUUUCGAAUAAUUUUCAGCUAAUAUGUAUAAUAUAGUCAUCCCUGUUAUUGUAUCGCAUGCAAAGAUCAUGCAAAUGUAGUUGUAAUAAACGGAAUGAACACAUUUGGGCUACUCACACCAUUUGACACGGCUGUGUUUAUAGAAAUCAAAAUGUAUUAGAUGUAAAUGUGUGUUUAAAUGAGUAACAUAUGUUACCUAAUUUAAUAUUCUUUUAAUUUAGAAGUCUUCAAUGUGUUCAUUUUAUUAACAAAAUACAUCAUUUAUUGAAAUAAAAGAUAACAUAGUAUUUUUUAAAUAUUUACUACAAUUAAGGUGGGUGGCGUAAUUUCCACAAACUUAAUUAAUCUAAUUAGUUAAACUUGUUCUAUGAGUUAAUUAAUCUAAUCAAUUAACUGAAGUCCAUAUCCAUUAAUAAACAAUCCAAAUAAUUAAUUUUAUAAAUGUCCAACACUUGAUUUAAUUUAUAAUAUCAUUCUACUAGUUCUCCCUUUUAUGUGGAACUCUAAGAAGUUCUGAUCACGAUAUCGAAUGACAUGAAUUAUUAUUUUGAUAUAAUCGGAAUAAGAAAAAAAUAAAUUUCUUUUUAAUUUAUCAUUAAUUUUCCUAGUUUAGUUAAUUCAUAGUCAUUGUUCCACAAUAUGUAAGGGCAUUACAUGUGAUGAAAAUAUCACGUGGUACAAAAAAAAAAAAAAAGUCAAAUUUGUCAGUUUACCAUUAGAUUAUAAUCCCUUUGCCUAUGUGAUUCGAUCAAUUGUGAGAUAUGAAAGUUUGCGAAUCUCGACUAUAGAUCGUAUCUUUUAUUCAACUCUUAAAACAAUGAUAAUCGAAACUCUUUUCAACUUACAUACUUACCUUGGACAAUUAUUUCAAUAUCAAUUUAACUGAAUGGAACAUAAAUACAAUCUCUUACUAUCUAACAGUAUCGAAUUCUCUAUUGAUCCUUCACAACAUUCAUAUGAUUUUUUAACAUGCCUAAACAAUGCCAUAUUGGUGACUCCUGGUAAAGCAACAUCCAAUGUUACACCCCACUCAUUAUAGUCAAAGUCAACAAAUUAUUUAAUCAAAGUCCAUGAAAAAAAUUCAAUGGGUCAAAGUCGGUCAAAAUAAGGACUUAAGUUGAACAAAUAAUUUCAUGGGACUUAAUUUUUAAUUACUAAUACAUGAAAAGGGCUAGAGAUAAAAUAAAAUAGGAAUUAAUGGACUUAGUUCUCUAUUACUAAGGGCUAAAAUUUAUAUUAUAAGAAGACUAAGGAUUUGAUUUGCAUUUACAUUGUAUUAAUCUUUUAAAAUAAAAGGAAAGGGGCUCAUUUUACAAAGGAAGAAACUAGAAGGAGAGAGAAAUCAAGAAAGGGAAAAAAGGAAGAAGAAAAGGAAAGAAAGAGAGAAAAAAGAAGUGCUAGUUUUCAUAGUAAUUUGAUUUCCAGAAAGUGUUAUUUCUAUUAAUGGUUUCGGUGAUACUUUCCAAUAUACAGAAUUUGGUGCCACAUUUCAAUAGUCUUGAAAUACAAUGCUGGUUUUGAUAAUAUUUUGAUUUUCUUGGAAUUUUAGUAUGAAAACCAAAUUAAGUAUUAAAUACUGGGAAUUAGCUGUUGAAAUAACUUAUAUAAAGGUGGAUAUGUUAUUAGUGACACUAAUUGGUAUUGUGAUAUUACACUGAUAAUAAGACUCCAAGUUCUUAUUAGUAAAUUAUUAUUUUUAUUUCUAAUGGUAGGAAAAAUGCUCAAAGCACCUUAGUGAGGAGAUAUGAUAUCUUGGGACGAGUGCUUUGGUAUUUGAACGUGAGGAGGUGAUGAGAAUUUUGAAGUCACGAUCGAUCUACAAAUUGUUGAGUAGAAAAACUUAUAUAUUUUCAAAUAUUUAUAAAGUACUUAUACUAUUAUAUUACGUAUGAUUAUGUGAAUUAUUUGUUUAGUUACAUUAUUGAUACGGAAAUGUUCUUUCACUGUGAUAUAUAUGGAAUUCAAAGAUUGUAUAUGGAUUAAUUGUGAACUGGAAGGUAAUACAUAUGAUAUCAAGAUCGACUAGAAGAGUACCCAUGAUUAUACACUUUUUUUUAGUUC
RNAcentral lists this long non-coding RNA (3449 nucleotides) under Olea europaea subsp. europaea. The record is from RNAcentral. Lineage: Eukaryota; Viridiplantae; Streptophyta; Magnoliopsida; Lamiales; Oleaceae.